Molecule: ribosomal RNA, 1054 nt
Filed under: Frondihabitans sp. 762G35
Lineage: Bacteria; Bacillati; Actinomycetota; Actinomycetes; Micrococcales; Microbacteriaceae
Description: bacterial SSU rRNA
Rfam family: Bacterial small subunit ribosomal RNA
Source: RNAcentral
UGCAGUCGAACGAUGAUCCCCAGCUUGCUGGGGGGAUUAGUGGCGAACGGGUGAGUAACACGUGAGUAACCUGCCCUUGACUCUGGGAUAAGCGUUGGAAACGACGUCUAAUACCGGAUAUGACUCCUGGCCGCAUGGUCUGGGGGUGGAAAGAUUUUUUGGUCAAGGAUGGACUCGCGGCCUAUCAGGUAGUUGGUGAGGUAAUGGCUCACCAAGCCGACGACGGGUAGCCGGCCUGAGAGGGUGACCGGCCACACUGGGACUGAGACACGGCCCAGACUCCUACGGGAGGCAGCAGUGGGGAAUAUUGCACAAUGGGCGAAAGCCUGAUGCAGCAACGCCGCGUGAGGGACGACGGCCUUCGGGUUGUAAACCUCUUUUAGUAGGGAAGAAGGGAGCUUGCUCUUGACGGUACCUGCAGAAAAAGCACCGGCUAACUACGUGCCAGCAGCCGCGGUAAUACGUAGGGUGCAAGCGUUGUCCGGAAUUAUUGGGCGUAAAGAGCUCGUAGGCGGUUUGUCGCGUCUGCUGUGAAAUCUGGGGGCUCAACCCCCAGCCUGCAGUGGGUACGGGCAGACUAGAGUGCGGUAGGGGAGAUUGGAAUUCCUGGUGUAGCGGUGGAAUGCGCAGAUAUCAGGAGGAACACCGAUGGCGAAGGCAAAUCUCUGGGCCGUAACUGACGCUGAGGAGCGAAAGCAUGGGGAGCGAACAGGAUUAGAUACCCUGGUAGUCCAUGCCGUAAACGUUGGGAACUAGAUGUAGGGGCCAUUCCACGGUUUCUGUGUCGCAGCUAACGCAUUAAGUUCCCCGCCUGGGGAGUACGGCCGCAAGGCUAAAACUCAAAGGAAUUGACGGGGGCCCGCACAAGCGGCGGAGCAUGCGGAUUAAUUCGAUGCAACGCGAAGAACCUUACCAAGGCUUGACAUAUACCGGAAACGUCCAGAGAUGGUCGCCCCGCAAGGUCGGUAUACAGGUGGUGCAUGGUUGUCGUCAGCUCGUGUCGUGAGAUGUUGGGGUUAAGUCCCGCAACGAGCGCAACCCUCGUUCUAUGUUG